RNAcentral lists this ribosomal RNA (599 nucleotides) under Exiguobacterium indicum. RNAcentral's name for it is "bacterial SSU rRNA". It matches the Rfam family "Bacterial small subunit ribosomal RNA", at positions 266 to 857 of the family's 1533-position model. Lineage: Bacteria; Bacillati; Bacillota; Bacilli; Caryophanales. The record is from RNAcentral.
CACCAAGGCGACGACGCAUAGCCGACCUGAGAGGGUGAUCGGCCACACUGGGAAUGAGACACGGCCCAGACUCCUACGGGAGGCAGCAGUAGGGAAUCUUCCACAAUGGACGAAAGUCUGAUGGAGCAACGCCGCGUGAGUGAUGAAGGUUUUCGGAUCGUAAAACUCUGUUGUAAGGGAAGAACACGUACGAGAGGGAAUGCUCGUACCUUGACGGUACCUUACGAGAAAGCCACGGCUAACUACGUGCCAGCAGCCGCGGUAAUACGUAGGUGGCAAGCGUUGUCCGGAAUUAUUGGGCGUAAAGCGCGCGCAGGCGGCCUUUUAAGUCUGAUGUGAAAGCCCCCGGCUCAACCGGGGAGGGCCAUUGGAAACUGGAAGGCUUGAGUACAGAAGAGAAGAGUGGAAUUCCACGUGUAGCGGUGAAAUGCGUAGAGAUGUGGAGGAACACCAGUGGCGAAGGCGACUCUUUGGUCUGUAACUGACGCUGAGGCGUGAAAGCGUGGGGAGCAAACAGGAUUAGAUACCCUGGUAGUCCACGCCGUAAACGUUUCUCCUCGGUGUUGGGGGGUUUCCGCCCCUCAGUGCUGAAGCUAACG